GACGAACGCUGGCGGCGUGCCUAAUACAUGCAAGUCGAGCGAAUCACUGGGAGCUUGCUCCCGGUGGUUAGCGGCGGACGGGUGAGUAACACGUGGGCAACCUGCCUGUAAGACUGGGAUAACACCGGGAAACCGGUGCUAAUACCGGAUAAUCCUUUUCCUCUCAUGAGGAAAAGCUGAAAGUCGGUUUCGGCUGACACUUACAGAUGGGCCCGCGGCGCAUUAGCUAGUUGGCGAGGUAACGGCUCACCAAGGCGACGAUGCGUAGCCGACCUGAGAGGGUGAUCGGCCACACUGGGACUGAGACACGGCCCAGACUCCUACGGGAGGCAGCAGUAGGGAAUCUUCCACAAUGGACGAAAGUCUGAUGGAGCAACGCCGCGUGAGCGAUGAAGGCCUUCGGGUCGUAAAGCUCUGUUGUUAGGGAAGAACAAGUACCGGAGUAACUGCCGGUACCUUGACGGUACCUAACCAGAAAGCCACGGCUAACUACGUGCCAGCCGCCGCAGUAA
Molecule: ribosomal RNA, 512 nt
Filed under: uncultured bacterium
Lineage: Bacteria
Description: partial 16S ribosomal RNA
Rfam family: Bacterial small subunit ribosomal RNA
Source: RNAcentral